RNAcentral lists this ribosomal RNA (674 nucleotides) under Vibrio parahaemolyticus. RNAcentral describes it as "partial 23S ribosomal RNA". It matches the Rfam family "Bacterial large subunit ribosomal RNA", at positions 2257 to 2925 of the family's 2925-position model. Lineage: Bacteria; Pseudomonadati; Pseudomonadota; Gammaproteobacteria; Vibrionales; Vibrionaceae. The record is from RNAcentral.
CCUGGUGGGUAGUUUGACUGGGGCGGUCUCCUCCCAAAGAGUAACGGAGGAGCACGAAGGUGGGCUAAUCACGGUUGGACAUCGUGAGGUUAGUGCAAUGGCAUAAGCCCGCUUGACUGCGAGAAUGACAAUUCGAGCAGGUGCGAAAGCAGGUCAUAGUGAUCCGGUGGUUCUGAAUGGAAGGGCCAUCGCUCAACGGAUAAAAGGUACUCCGGGGAUAACAGGCUGAUACCGCCCAAGAGUUCAUAUCGACGGCGGUGUUUGGCACCUCGAUGUCGGCUCAUCACAUCCUGGGGCUGAAGUCGGUCCCAAGGGUAUGGCUGUUCGCCAUUUAAAGUGGUACGCGAGCUGGGUUUAGAACGUCGUGAGACAGUUCGGUCCCUAUCUGCCGUGGGCGUUGGAAGAUUGAAGGGGGCUGCUCCUAGUACGAGAGGACCGGAGUGGACGAACCUCUGGUGUUCGGGUUGUGUCGCCAGACGCAUUGCCCGGUAGCUAAGUUCGGAAUCGAUAACCGCUGAAAGCAUCUAAGCGGGAAGCGAGCCCUGAGAUGAGUCUUCCCUGAUACUUUAAGUAUCCUAAAGGGUUGUCGGAGACUACGACGUUGAUAGGUCAGGUGUGUAAGUGCUGUGAGGCAUUGAGCUAACUGAUACUAAUUGCCCGUGAGGCUUAACCAU